This 228-nucleotide ribosomal RNA is filed under the name uncultured bacterium. RNAcentral's name for it is "partial 16S ribosomal RNA". It matches the Rfam family "Bacterial small subunit ribosomal RNA", at positions 524 to 751 of the family's 1533-position model. The record is from RNAcentral.
UACGUAGGUGGCAAGCGUUGUCCGGAUUUACUGGGCGUAAAGGGCGUGCAGGCGGUUUGUUAAGUGCAGGGUGAAAGCUCCCGGCUCAACUGGGAGAGGUCCUUGCAUACUGGCAAACUCGAGGGAGGCAGAGGAAAGUGGAAUUCCCGGUGUAGUGGUGAUAUGCGUAGAUAUCGGGAGGAACACCUGUGGCGAAGGCGGCUUUCUGGGCCUUACCUGACGCUGAGA